GACGAACGCUAGCGGCGUGCCUAAGAAAUGCAAGUCGAGCGAAGAUGAGGAGCUUGCUCCGAAGUCUUAGCGGCGAACGGUCGCGUAACACGUAAGCAACCUGCCCCAAAGCGGGGGAUAGCCUUCCGAAAGGAAGAUUAAUACCGCAUGUGGAUACUUGAUUGCAUGUUUGAGUAUCUAAAGCAGCGAUGCACUUUGGGAUGGGCUUGCGGCCUAUCAGCUAGUUGGUGUGGGUAACGGCCCACCAAGGCGACGACGGGUAGCUGGUCUGAGAGGAUGGUCAGCCGGACUGGGACUGAGAUACGGCCCAGACACCUACGGGAGGCUG
Molecule: ribosomal RNA, 328 nt
Filed under: uncultured Armatimonadota bacterium
Lineage: Bacteria; Bacillati; Armatimonadota
Description: bacterial SSU rRNA
Rfam family: Bacterial small subunit ribosomal RNA
Source: RNAcentral